GUGUUUUUAGUUUAAUGGGUAAAACCUCAGAGUGUGAAUCUGAAGAACAGGGUUCGAAUCCCGAAAACACC
RNAcentral lists this transfer RNA (71 nucleotides) under Flavobacterium terrae. It matches the Rfam family "tRNA". Rfam says of the family: Transfer RNA (tRNA) molecules are approximately 80 nucleotides in length. Their secondary structure includes four short double-helical elements and three loops (D, anti-codon, and T loops). The record is from Rfam by way of RNAcentral. Lineage: Bacteria; Pseudomonadati; Bacteroidota; Flavobacteriia; Flavobacteriales; Flavobacteriaceae.